Molecule: ribosomal RNA, 896 nt
Filed under: Pichia exigua
Lineage: Eukaryota; Fungi; Ascomycota; Pichiomycetes; Pichiales; Pichiaceae
Description: LSU rRNA
Rfam family: Eukaryotic large subunit ribosomal RNA
Source: RNAcentral
GCAUAUCAAUAAGCGAAGGAAAAGAAACCAACAGGGAUUGCCUCAGUAGCGGCGAGUGAAGCGGCAAGAGCUCAGAUUUGAAAUCGUGUUUCGGCACGAGUUGUAAAUUGCAGGUUGGAGUCUUUGUGGAGGCGUGUGUCUAAGUCCCUUGGAACAGGGCGCCAUUGAGGGUGAGAGCCCCGUGAGACGCGCGCGGAAGCUUUAAGGCCCUUCUGACGAGUCGAGUUGUUUGGGAAUGCAGCUCUAAGUGGGUGGUAAAUUCCAUCUAAGGCUAAAUAUUGGCGAGAGACCGAUAGCGAACAAGUACUGUGAAGGAAAGAUGAAAAGCACUUUGAAAAGAGAGUGAAACAGCACGUGAAAUUGUUGAAAGGGAAGGGUAUUGGGCUCGACAUGGGAUUUGCGCACCGCUGCUCCCUUGUGGGCGGCGCUCUGGGCUUUUCCUGGGCCAGCAUCGGUUUCCGCUGCAGGAGAAGGGGUGCCGGAAUGUGGCUCUUCGGAGUGUUAUAGCCGGCGCCAGAUGCUGCGUGUGGGGACCGAGGACUGCGGCUUCUGUCUCGGAUGCUGGCACAACGGCGCAAUACCGCCCGUCUUGAAACAUGGACCAAGGAGUCUAACGUCUAUGCGAGUGUUUGGGUGUGAAACCCGUACGCGUAAUGAAAGUGAACGUAGGUCGGACCCUUCGGGGGCACGAUCGACCGAUCCUGAUGUUUAUCGGAUGGAUUUGAGUAAGAGCAUAGCUGUUGGGACCCGAAAGAUGGUGAACUAUGCCUGAAUAGGGUGAAGCCAGAGGAAACUCUGGUGGAGGCUCGUAGCGGUUCUGACGUGCAAAUCGAUCGUCGAAUUUGGGUAUAGGGGCGAAAGACUAAUCGAACAUCUAGUAGCUGGUUCCUGCCGAA